AGGAUGGCCGAGUGGUUAAGGCAUUGGACUUAAGUUCCAAUGGAUGUAUAUCCACGUGGGUUUGAACCACCACUCCU
This 77-nucleotide transfer RNA is filed under the name Xenopus laevis (African clawed frog). It matches the Rfam family "tRNA". From Rfam's summary of the family: Transfer RNA (tRNA) molecules are approximately 80 nucleotides in length. Their secondary structure includes four short double-helical elements and three loops (D, anti-codon, and T loops). Lineage: Eukaryota; Metazoa; Chordata; Amphibia; Anura; Pipidae. The record is from Rfam by way of RNAcentral.